GCGGUACCGGUUCACGCCCGUCAGGGCGACCCGGCGACC
RNAcentral lists this non-coding RNA (39 nucleotides) under unclassified sequences. RNAcentral's name for it is "L31-Actinobacteria ribosomal protein leader". It matches the Rfam family "L31-Actinobacteria ribosomal protein leader". The record is from RNAcentral.